GACGAACGCUGGCGGCGUGCCUAAUACAUGCAAGUAGAACGCUGAGGGAGGAGCUUGCUUCUCUGGAUGAGUUGCGAACGGGUGAGUAACGCGUAGGUAACCUGCCUGGUAGCGGGGGAUAACUAUUGGAAACGAUAGCUAAUACCGCAUAAGAGUAGAUGUUGCAUGACAUUUGCUUAAAAGGUGCAAUUGCAUCACUACCAGAUGGACCUGCGUUGUAUUAGCUAGUUGGUGAGGUAACGGCUCACCAAGGCAACGAUACAUAGCCGACCUGAGAGGGUGAUCGGCCACACUGGGACUGAGACACGGCCCAGACUCCUACGGGAGGCAGCAGUAGGGAAUCUUCGGCAAUGGACGGAAGUCUGACCGAGCAACGCCGCGUGAGUGAAGAAGGUUUUCGGAUCGUAAAGCUCUGUUGUAAGAGAAGAACGAGUGUGAGAGUGGAAAGUUCACACUGUGACGGUAUCUUACCAGAAAGGGACGGCUAACUACGUG
RNAcentral lists this ribosomal RNA (495 nucleotides) under uncultured bacterium. RNAcentral describes it as "partial 16S ribosomal RNA". It matches the Rfam family "Bacterial small subunit ribosomal RNA", at positions 28 to 507 of the family's 1533-position model. The record is from RNAcentral.